This 119-nucleotide ribosomal RNA is filed under the name Lupinus angustifolius (narrow-leaved blue lupine). The record is from RNAcentral. Lineage: Eukaryota; Viridiplantae; Streptophyta; Magnoliopsida; Fabales; Fabaceae.
AAGUGUGAUCAUACCAGCACUAAUGCAUCUGAUCCAAUUAGAACUCCACAGAUAAGCGUGCUUGGGCGAUAGUAUUAUUAGGAUGGGUGACUUCCUGGGAAGUCCUCGUGUUGCACCUC